CAAUAGCGUAUAUUUAAGUUGUUGCAGUUAAAAAGCUCGUAGUUGGAUUUCGGUUAAGAGCGACCGGUCCGCCGUUUGGUGUGCACUGGUUGGUUUUAACUUCCUGUAGAGGACGUGCUCUGGGUUUAACGACCUGGACUCGGAGUCUACGUGGUUACUUUGAAAAAAUUAGAGUGUUCAAAGCGGGCUUACGCUUGAAUAUUUCAGCAUGGAAUAACACUAUAGGACUCCUGUCCUAUUUCGUUGGUCUCGGGACGGGAGUAAUGAUUAAGAGGAACAGUUGGGGGCAUCCGUAUUUCAUUGUCAGAGGUGAAAUUCUUGGAUUUAUGAAAGACGAACUUCUGCGAAAGCAUUUGCCAAGGAUGUUUUCAUUAA
This 375-nucleotide ribosomal RNA is filed under the name uncultured eukaryote. Its description in RNAcentral is "partial 18S ribosomal RNA". It matches the Rfam family "Eukaryotic small subunit ribosomal RNA", at positions 592 to 976 of the family's 1831-position model. The record is from RNAcentral.